CAGUAGCCGCGGGAAUACGUAGGUGGCGAGCGUUGUCCGGAUUUAUUGGGCGUAAAGGGAGUGUAGGCGGUCUUUUAAGUCUGAUGUGAAAGCCCACGGCUCAACCGAGGAGGGUCAUUGGAAACUGGGAAACUUGAGUGCAGAAGAGGAGAGUGGAAUUCCACGUGUAGCGGUGAAAUGCGUAGAGAUGUGGAGGAACACCAGUGGCGAAGGCGACUCUCUGGUCUGUAACUGACGCUGAGGAGCGAAAGCGUGGGGAGCGAACAGGAUUAGAUACCCGAGUAGUCCCUGUCUCUUAUAC
RNAcentral lists this ribosomal RNA (301 nucleotides) under uncultured bacterium. RNAcentral's name for it is "partial 16S ribosomal RNA". It matches the Rfam family "Bacterial small subunit ribosomal RNA", at positions 509 to 807 of the family's 1533-position model. The record is from RNAcentral.